Molecule: long non-coding RNA, 262 nt
Filed under: Homo sapiens (human)
Lineage: Eukaryota; Metazoa; Chordata; Mammalia; Primates; Hominidae
Description: non-protein coding WWC2-AS2:4
Source: RNAcentral
GCCGCUGCCGGCGUCGCCGCACCAGCUCGGACGCACUGCCCCGCGGGGCCGCGGCUCCAGGAGCUGGGGCCUGGCAGGAGGUGACUGGAUCAUGGGGGCGCGUUUCCUCUGAGUACUGUUCUGGUGAUAGUGAGUGAGCUGUCGUCAUGAGAUCUGGUCGUGUAAAGGUGUGUGGCACCCCUCCCUUCUCCCUCUCUUCUGUUCUGGCCACGUAAGACAUGCCUGCCUCCCCUUCACCUUUUUCCAUAAUCAAUAAGUUUCC